UGCCUACGGGGCGCAGCAGUAGGGAAUUUUCGGCAAUGGGGGGAACCCUGACCGAGCAACGCCGCGUGAAGGAAGAAGGAAUUCGUUCUGUAAACUUCUGUUAUAAAGGAAGAAAGGCGGAUGAAGGAAAUGACAUCCGAGUGACGGUACUUUAUGAGAAAGCCACGGCUAACUACGUGCCAGCAGCCGCGGUAAUACGUAGGGAGCGAGCGUUAUCCGGAUUUAUUGGGUGUAAAGGGUGCGUAGGCGGCUUCUUAAGUCUGUAGUCUAAGCCCGGAGCUUAACUCCGGUUCGCUACAGAAACU
This 305-nucleotide ribosomal RNA is filed under the name uncultured bacterium. RNAcentral describes it as "bacterial SSU rRNA". It matches the Rfam family "Bacterial small subunit ribosomal RNA", at positions 335 to 634 of the family's 1533-position model. The record is from RNAcentral.